Molecule: ribosomal RNA, 614 nt
Filed under: uncultured bacterium
Lineage: Bacteria
Description: bacterial SSU rRNA
Rfam family: Bacterial small subunit ribosomal RNA (bases 1-534)
Source: RNAcentral
CCUACGGGAGGCAGCAGUAAGGAAUAUUGGACAAUGCUCGCAAGAGUGAUCCAGCCAUGCCGCGUGCAGGAAGAAUGCCCUAUGGGUAGUAAACUGCUUUUGAACUAGAGAAAACCCCAGUACGUGUACUGGGCUGAUAGUAUAGUUAGAAUAAGCAUCGGCUAACUUCGUGCCAGCAGCCGCGGUAAGACGAAGGAUGCAAGCGUUAUCCGGAUUCAUUGGGUUUAAAGGGAGCGUAGGUGGACUGAUAAGUCAGUGGUGAAAUCUCCGAGCUUAACUCGGAAAUUGCCAUUGAUACUGUUGGUCUUGAGUACAGUUGCUGUGGGCGGAAUAUGACAUGUAGUGGUGAAAUACAUAGAGAUGUCAUAGAACACCGAUUGCGAAGGCAGCUCACAAAGCUGUAACUGACACUGAGGCUCGAAAGUGCGGGGAUCAAACAGGAUUAGAUACCCUGGUAGUCCGCACCGUAAACGAUGAUUACUCGCUGCUAGGGGGCAACCUUUAGUGGCUUAGCGAAAGCGAUAGUAAUCCACCUGGGGAGGACGCCGGCGACGAGAACGACAANAGAGUAGACGGCGNGAGGAGNGCGACGGACGACGACGAGGGGAGGUAGG